UUUGAUCCUGGCUCAGAUUGAACGCUGGCGGCAUGCCUUACACAUGCAAGUCGAACGGCAGCGCGGGGCAACCUGGCGGCGAGUGGCGAACGGGUGAGUAAUAUAUCGGAACGUACCCUGGAGUGGGGGAUAACGUAGCGAAAGUUACGCUAAUACCGCAUACGAUCUAAGGAUGAAAGUGGGGGAUCGCAAGACCUCAUGCUCCUGGAGCGGCCGAUAUCCGAUUAGCUAGUUGGUGGGGUAAAGGCCUACCAAGGCAUCGAUCAGUAGCUGGUCUGAGAGGACGACCAGCCACACUGGAACUGAGACACGGUCCAGACUCCUACGGGAGGCAGCAGUGGGGAAUUUUGGACAAUGGGCGAAAGCCUGAUCCAGCAAUGCCGCGUGAGUGAAGAAGGCCUUCGGGUUGUAAAGCUCUUUUGUCAGGGAAGAAACGGUGAGGGCUAAUAUCCCUUGCUAAUGACGGUACCUGAAGAAUAAGCACCGGCUAACUACGUGCCAGCAGCCGCGGUAAUACGUAGGGUGCAAGCGUUAAUCGGAAUUACUGGGCGUAAAGCGUGCGCAGGCGGUUUUGUAAGUCUGUCGUGAAAUCCCCGGGCUCAACCUGGGAAUUGCGAUGGAGACUGCAAGGCUAGAAUCUGGCAGAGGGGGGUAGAAUUCCACGUGUAGCAGUGAAAUGCGUAGAGAUGUGGAGGAACACCGAUGGCGAAGGCAGCCCCCUGGGUCAAGAUUGACGCUCAUGCACGAAAGCGUGGGGAGCAAACAGGAUUAGAUACCCUGGUAGUCCACGCCCUAAACGAUGUCUACUAGUUGUCGGGUUUUAAUUGAACUUGGUAACGCAGCUAACGCGUGAAGUAGACCGCCUGGGGAGUACGGUCGCAAGAUUAGAACUCAAAGGAAUUGACGGGGACCCGCACAAGCGGUGGAUGAUGUGGAUUAAUUCGAUGCAACGCGAAAAACCUUACCUACCCUUGACAUGUACGGAAGCCACGAGAGAUCGAGGUGUGCUCGAAAGAGAACCGUAACACAGGUGCUGCAUGGCUGUCGUCAGCUCGUGUCGUGAGAUGUUGGGUUAAGUCCCGCAACGAGCGCAACCCUUGUCAUUAGUUGCUACGAAAGAGCACUCUAAUGAGACUGCCGGUGACAAACCGGAGGAAGGUGGGGAUGACGUCAAGUCCUCAUGGCCCUUAUGGGUAGGGCUUCACACGUCAUACAAUGGUACAUACAGAGGGCCGCCAACCCGCGAGGGGGAGCUAAUCCCAGAAAGUGUAUCGUAGUCCGGAUUGUAGUCUGCAACUCGACUACAUGAAGUUGGAAUCGCUAGUAAUCGCGGAUCAGCAUGUCGCGGUGAAUACGUCCCCGGGUCUUGUACACACCGCCCGUCACACCAUGGGAGCGGGUUUUACCAGAAGUAAGUAGCUUAACCGCGACGGGGGGCGCUUACCAC
RNAcentral lists this ribosomal RNA (1447 nucleotides) under beta proteobacterium JV3. Its description in RNAcentral is "16S ribosomal RNA". It matches the Rfam family "Bacterial small subunit ribosomal RNA". The record is from RNAcentral. Lineage: Bacteria; Pseudomonadati; Pseudomonadota; Betaproteobacteria.